This 286-nucleotide unclassified non-coding RNA is filed under the name Hevea brasiliensis (rubber tree). Lineage: Eukaryota; Viridiplantae; Streptophyta; Magnoliopsida; Malpighiales; Euphorbiaceae. The record is from RNAcentral.
GAUUCUCUUCUUUCCUUUCCGAUUCCUUUAGGAUCGGACGGUUUAGUUCCUCGAAGUUAUUUUGUACAGGUAUUUACUUAGCAUAAUGAAGGGGUCCAAGGGUAAGGGAACAGCAAGAGUCUCCAAAGAAGCUUUGAAGCCAGUUGAUGAUAGAAAGGUUGGGAAGCAAAAGGCUGCCGUCAAAGCUGACAAGGGUAUCAAACGACCAACAAAGAAAGAUUUGAAAGCCAAGAAAGAUCCCAACAAACCUAAGAGGCCUCCGAGUGCUUUCUUUGUUUUCCUUGAG